RNAcentral lists this long non-coding RNA (2168 nucleotides) under Homo sapiens (human). Its description in RNAcentral is "HSALNT0314104". The record is from RNAcentral. Lineage: Eukaryota; Metazoa; Chordata; Mammalia; Primates; Hominidae.
CGCAGGGAGCGCGCCUGCCUCCUACCCGGCUCCCGGUCGCAACAGGAGAGGAGCGGGCCUCAUAGUCACUUCCUGCUUCAGCCUCCAAACUGAGCCUUCUAAAUUUGAGGACAUACCUGCCCAGGGGAUGCCAACCCAUUUUGGUCAGUUUCUACAGCAGCAUAAAUUAGGGUUCUCGGAGCCAUUCAGAAAUUGAGCCCUCAUCUGGCAAAUACAAUCCUCCCAGGGAAACUCAGAAACAAAAAUAAUAUGCACAGAAGAAAAAUAUGUAAAAUAUUUUUUAAACAUACAUUUGGACAAGGAUUGGAAGAUAUAUGUAAAAUUAAAAUAUCAAGAUGGUGGAGUUAUGGAUGUACUUCUUUUUGAAAAUGUGGAUAUUAUAUUUUUAAGGUUAAAAAAAUGAAACAUGUUAAGAAAUGUUAAUAACUUUUAACAAGAAUAUCCUGAAAGGAUAAAUUUUGAUUAUGAAGUAGAGAUGCCUCAACUUUGCUCACUACUUCCAACUUGCUAGAAUUCCCUACCAGAUCUCUAAUGGCAAGAAAUAAAUGAUAUGACAGUAGAGUUUUUCAUAUUAAUAACAAAUUUAAAUUUCCAACUAUGAUAUCACGAGGCUCAUUCUCAUUCUUUUAAACUCCAGGGUAAGGACUAGAGUUUCUUUUUUCCAUCCAAUUCAAUCCCUCACCCUCUCUUGUACAUAUUCCUGCAGUCUAAUCCAGUCCUAAGCAGGGUAUAAGAGUAAGCAAUAUAAGAAGAAAAACAAGGAAGCGGUCAAGUGAUAGGAGCUACUGAGAGCAACUCUUCAUGUCACCAUAAUCCCAGAUAUAAAUAUAGAGGCAGAAUAUUUAUCCUUUAAAUAAAUAUCCUUUAAAUAACCUAAUAAUCUGAGCUUAAAGCUCUGAUAAAGCAAGUUAUCUGAUAUAUUUAUCGCAUCAAUUUAACAACUAUUUACCAAGUACCUACACUUUGUAAGGCACCAGGUUUAAGGUUAAACCAAAAAAAAAAAAAUGACCCCUGACCCCAAAUAAGUUCCAAUUGCAUAUGGGCUAUAUCUGUGCUAUCAUAAAUAAGCAGAUAGAGUUCUGCCUCUUUGUCACCUAAGGAUACUUCUGCCUUGCCAGGCAAGAGCUACUGAGUCAUUAAGAGGACAAUGCUCACAGUUCAGUAAAGGAGCCCUUUCAAUAGAAAAAAAAAAGUGUGGCUUCUGAAGGGAGAGUGAGGAUGAUCAGAUUUCAGGAGGCAAUCCAGCUGCUGAGAAGCAUGAGGGCAGAUGGUAGAUGGUGGACCAGAAGAAAGCAGAUCAGGAGUACUAGAAGCUCCAAGUGCUGUACACAGAGGCUUCCAAGGACACUCUCCCAGGAAACAAAAAGUGUGGUUUUUAAAAAAAUUCAUAGAGAUAAUACCAUUGACAUAUACUUUGAGUAAUUUUUUAUUAGUAAUGAUGAGUUUCACCAGCUCUUUUAUCCUAAUCUGCUUUACGACCACAGAAGGAUUUCUUUAAAUCCCUUAAGUAUUCUGAGUACUAAAGACAGAGACAAUAUGUUAUAUUUGUGUAACACUUUACAAAUUUCAAAGUGCUUUCACACCUAUUAUCUGAUUUAAUCUUCACAGCAAACCCAGGGGGGAUGGGUAAGGCAUGUAUGAUGACCCUGUCUUCACACAGGAGGAUACUGUGUCUUAAAGCUAUCUGAGGGUAACACUGUACUUGCCUCCUAAAGAUUUAUCCCACCUCUGCCCCACCAUGAUCACUACCACACCCAGACACCACCUGAGAAGCUAUAAAAUUUGGAUGAGAUUGGCCCCACCCUCAUCUCUGAGAGAGUUAUAGUUGGUCUACCUUACCAAGAAAGAAGUGGAGAGGGGAAUGAUCAGGAUGAGGAAUCCUGGUAGAAGACUCUGCUAUAUGGCACCUUUGACUCAAAAACAUUGAUGACGUGAAAAUAAGUCAACUGCUAAAGUUCACAUUUUAAUCCUAGGCAGGCUCUCCUCAACCCAUCAAAAUGCUGGACCACUUCUUUCCACAAUCAGUUAAUCUGCAUUCAAGAAUGGAAAAUUAACUUUAUUAUUAGCUUAGGAGGAACAUAAUUAAGAAAGAAAAAUGAUGUAGGGAAUUAUAAGGAUUUCCAAUGCCAAGUAUAAAUUAUUUUUGAAUUAGCUAUUUUAAGUUUUUA